UCUGUCCAUGAGAAAAUACUAAU
Molecule: non-coding RNA, 23 nt
Filed under: Cricetulus griseus (Chinese hamster)
Lineage: Eukaryota; Metazoa; Chordata; Mammalia; Rodentia; Cricetidae
Source: RNAcentral